Molecule: ribosomal RNA, 460 nt
Filed under: uncultured bacterium
Lineage: Bacteria
Description: partial 16S ribosomal RNA
Rfam family: Bacterial small subunit ribosomal RNA
Source: RNAcentral
CCUACGGGAGGCAGCAGUGAGGAAUAUUGGUCAAUGGGCGCGAGCCUGAACCAGCCAAGUAGCGUGAAGGAUGAAUGCCCUACGGGUUGUAAACUUCUUUUAUAAAGGAAUAAAGUGAGGCACGUGUGCCUUUUUGUAUGUACUUUAUGAAUAAGGAUCGGCUAACUCCGUGCCAGCAGCCGCGGUAAUACGGAGGAGCCGAGCGUUAUCCGGAUUUAUUGGGUAUAAAGGGCGCGUAGAUGGGUUGUUAAGUCAGUUGUGAAAGUUUGCGGCUCAACCGUAAAAUUGCAAUUGAUACUGGCAGGCUGGAGUACAGUUGAGGUAGGCGGAAUUCGUGGUGUAGCGGUGAAAUGCUUAGAUAUCACGAAGAACUCCGAUUGCGAAGGCAGCUUACUAAACUGCCACUGACAUUGAUGCCCGAAAGUGUGGGUAUCAAACAGGAUUAGAUACCCCAGUAGUC